This 497-nucleotide ribosomal RNA is filed under the name uncultured bacterium. Its description in RNAcentral is "partial 16S ribosomal RNA". It matches the Rfam family "Bacterial small subunit ribosomal RNA", at positions 28 to 507 of the family's 1533-position model. The record is from RNAcentral.
GAUGAACGCUGGCGGCGUGCCUAAUACAUGCAAGUCGAGCGAACAGACGAGGAGCUUGCUCCUCUGACGUUAGCGGCGGACGGGUGAGUAACACGUGGAUAACCUACCUAUAAGACUGGGAUAACUUCGGGAAACCGGAGCUAAUACCGGAUAAUAUAUUGAACCGCAUGGUUCAAUAGUGAAAGACGGUUUUGCUGUCACUUAUAGAUGAAUCCGCGCCGCAUUAGCUAGUUGGUAAGGUAACGGCUUACCAAGGCAACGAUGCGUAGCCGACCUGAGAGGGUGAUCGGCCACACUGGAACUGAGACACGGUCCAGACUCCUACGGGAGGCAGCAGUAGGGAAUCUUCCGCAAAGGGCGAAAGCCUGACGGAGCAACGCCGCGUGAGUGAUGAAGGUCUUCGGAUCGUAAAACUCUGUUAUUAGGGAAGAACAAAUGUGUAAGUAACUAUGCACGUCUUGACGGUACCUAAUCAGAAAGCCACGGCUAACUACGUG